CUACAAAAAGAAAAAGAAAAAAAAAUAGUAUGAAUCCUAAAGCAGCACGAAUCCUAAUGCAGAGAAAAAUAGAAAGGAAAAAAAAAGAUUUGGACCAGCACGUGCUGGGUGGGAAUUGAACUCCCAGUGAGAGUCCUCCUCCGUGCCUUCUUUCCCCCAGAGAUAGAAGCCAGAGAGGACUUGAACUCCUCCCCCAACCCUCUUUAAAGAAGGGCCAAACCCUCCUUUGGAACCUGACCAACUCCGGCCUCCUCCGAUCAUCAG
RNAcentral lists this long non-coding RNA (264 nucleotides) under Elaeis guineensis (African oil palm). RNAcentral's name for it is "long non-coding RNA (EGUI_LNC003618)". The record is from RNAcentral. Lineage: Eukaryota; Viridiplantae; Streptophyta; Magnoliopsida; Arecales; Arecaceae.